UCCCUGGUAGUUCAAGUGGCUAAGACUCUGCACUCCCAAUGCAGGGGGUCUGGGUUCAAAUCCUGGUCAGGGAA
This 74-nucleotide transfer RNA is filed under the name Bos taurus (domestic cattle). It matches the Rfam family "tRNA". From Rfam's summary of the family: Transfer RNA (tRNA) molecules are approximately 80 nucleotides in length. Their secondary structure includes four short double-helical elements and three loops (D, anti-codon, and T loops). RNAcentral also lists the same sequence under 3 other names. Lineage: Eukaryota; Metazoa; Chordata; Mammalia; Artiodactyla; Bovidae. The record is from Rfam by way of RNAcentral.